CCUACGGGAGGCUGCAGUGAGGAAUAUUGGUCAAUGGUCGGGAGACUGAACCAGCCAAGCCGCGUGAGGGAUGAAGGUACAGAGUAUCGUAAACCUCUUUUGUCAGGGAACCAAGUCGGGGACGCGUCCCCGGAUGAGUGUACCUGAAGAAACAGCAUCGGCUAACUCCGUGCCAGCAGCCGCGGUAAUACGGAGGAUGCGAGCGUUAUCCGGAUUUCUUGGGUUUAAAGUGUGCGCAGGCGGUCUGUUAAGUCAGCGGUAAAAGCCCGGGGCUCAACCCCGGCCAGCCGUUGAAACUGGCAGUCUCGAGUUGGAGAGAAGUAUGCGGAAGGCGCGGUGUAGCGGUGAAAUGCAUAGAUAUCGCGCAGAACUACGAUUGCGAAGGCAGCAUGCCGGCUCCACACUGACGCUGAGGCACGAAGGCGUGGGUAUCGAACAGGAUUAGAUACCCGAGUAGUC
RNAcentral lists this ribosomal RNA (459 nucleotides) under uncultured bacterium. Its description in RNAcentral is "partial 16S ribosomal RNA". It matches the Rfam family "Bacterial small subunit ribosomal RNA", at positions 338 to 795 of the family's 1533-position model. The record is from RNAcentral.